This 1018-nucleotide long non-coding RNA is filed under the name Felis catus (domestic cat). RNAcentral's name for it is "lncRNA (ENSFCAG00000041234.2)". The record is from RNAcentral. Lineage: Eukaryota; Metazoa; Chordata; Mammalia; Carnivora; Felidae.
AUCCGUAUACUCCGUCCGAGAUCGUGAAUGAUGUUUCAUAGUAUUCGGAGGCUUGGAGGAGUGUAAAGUAGACCCCUAAAGAGAUUGUAAUAAAUAGUGCUUGGAGCAUGUGUUUUCGAUUUCCUUCCAUCAAACUGUGGUGAGCUCAGGUGAUUGAUACUCCGGAGGCUAGAAGCACGGAGGUAUUAAGUAGUGGAACUUCCAGGGGGUUCAGGGGAAUAAUGCCUGUCGGUGGUCAGCAUCCUCCUAGCUCGGGGGUUGGGGCUAGGCUUGAGUGGUAGAAGGCCCAGAAGAAGCCUGCGAAAAAGAAUACUUCUGAGAUGAUAAAGAGGCUGAUAGUCUCAAUGACUACAAGCAUAGGAAUUAGGGGGACAGGUGUUCCUUGUGGUAGAAAGUGGGCCAGAGAUGCUUUAGUCUUGUGGCGAAACCCGGUAAUUACAGUGCCGGCUCAUAGCGGGAUAGCUAUUCCUAAAUUUAUUGAUAAUUGGGUAGUUGGGGUGAAUGAGCUUCAAAUGUGUGGUACGGAGGAGGACAUCCAUGCAAUCAUUCAAGAUUAGUUGUGGUUAGUUCUACUAUGGCCACUUCUCGCUUGGAUGCGAAAGCUUCUCACACUAUGAAAACUAUUAACAUGACUGCCGUUAAUGAGAUGAAAGAGCCCAUUGAGGAAAUCGUAUUUCAAGUUGUAUAUGCAUCUGGAUAGUCAGAAUAACGUCGUGGCAUUCCGGACAGGCCUAGGAAGUGCUGAGGGAAGAACGUUAUAUUGACUCCUACAAACAUAAUCGUAAAGUGAAUCUUUGCUCAAGUGUUGUCAAGGGUGUAUCCUGAGAAUAGGGGGAAUCAAUGGACGAAGCCUCCUAUGAUAGCGAAUACUGCUCCUAUUGACAAGACAUAGUGAAAGUGGGCCACUACGUAAUAUGUGUCGUGAAGAACAAUGUCUAAUGAAGAGUUUGCUAGUACAAUUCCCGUUAGGCCUCCUACGGUAAAUAGGAAAAUAAAGCCUAAGGCUCAUAAUAUAGCA